This 253-nucleotide ribosomal RNA is filed under the name uncultured bacterium. RNAcentral describes it as "partial 16S ribosomal RNA". It matches the Rfam family "Bacterial small subunit ribosomal RNA", at positions 524 to 776 of the family's 1533-position model. The record is from RNAcentral.
GACGUAGGGGGCGAGCGUUGUCCGGAUUUAUUGGGCGUAAAGCGCGCGUAGGCGGUCGUUCAAGUCGGUUGUGAAAACCCGGGGCUCAACCCCGGGCCCGCGUCCGAUACUGGGCGACUGGAGGCAGGUAGGGGAGAUCGGAAUUCCUGGUGUAGCGGUGGAAUGCGCAGAUAUCAGGAGGAACACCGGUGGCGAAGGCGGAUCUCUGGGCCUGUCCUGACGCUCAGGCGCGAAAGCUAGGGGAGCAAACAGG